This is a long non-coding RNA of Lotus japonicus, 2520 nucleotides long. RefSeq lists it as uncharacterized. Lineage: Eukaryota; Viridiplantae; Streptophyta; Magnoliopsida; Fabales; Fabaceae. The transcript has 4 exons. The record is from RefSeq and is a predicted model, not a curated record.
CGUGUAAUUUUUUUAAAAAAAUAAAUAAAAACUAAAAAUUUUAAUUUUAAUUAAGUCCCCCAAUUCUUUUCUAAUUAAAACUCUAACCCUAAAACUAAUAAUCAACUAAAACCUAUCUUCUACCGUCUUCCUCCUUCAUAUCAAAACAAAACCCCCCAUUUCAUGUCUUCCUGCUUCAGACCCAAUUCACUAGAUUUCUCUAUUCAUUCCCUCGAAAGGGUGUUGAUUGGGGAAAGAGAUGGGGUUCUGAGAGCGAGAUGUUGCUGGAAGGUCUGGAUCGCCGGUUUUGGCUGAUAGGAGAGGCGCCAGACAAGGAAGAAGGGGCAGAUAUGAGUGACGUCGGACAAGGACGGAGGCGCGGUUGCUGCAAGAAGGGCGACCAAGGGCGGCGAUGCCAGAGUGAGGAGUGGUAGCGCUAGGGGUUGAGCACGGGGAGGCCACAACCAAGGACUAGUGGCGGCAUUGUGGUUACUUGAGGCGCGUUGGGCUUGCAAAGAAGGCAAACGGUCGGCGGCGGAGUGGGGAGCGGCGUACGGAGGAGCGGUGCACAGGGGUGCGUCGCGGACGGUGGUGGGCAGCGGCUGGAGGAUCUGUGGUUGUGUUGUGAUGUUGAAGUUGUUUGCUGUAUGAACAGUUGCUGUUGGGCCUGUUCGGUUCGUGGGCUGCAUUUGUAGGAUACCUUCUGUCUCUUUCACUUCUUCGCGUGAUCUCCCUCGCCAGCCGUCGUCCCCCAUCUGAGCAUCAUCUACCUUCUAGCCACCAUGCCUGCAACUCUACUCGUGGUCCAUCUUGUCAUCACAUCACAUAUACUAAUCUCGCAGCAAAAAAAACCGAGGUCGAGAACUUUGUCUUGAAGCUAAAAGCACGUGUUUGAGAUUUUCCAGCAAAUCCAAGCCUAACCAUGCCAAAACCCAUAGCCACUUGAUUCGAUUGAACAAACAGUUACUGAUGCAAUGCUAUAGCUCGUGAAUUUUGGCCAGCUGUUGUGUGGUUGUUUUUUGAUUCCUGAACCCUACAAGGGAUGCUACGGUCUAUGUUUGUGAAGGGUUGUCCGGCAUAGGAAGUGUUUCCAACCAUCCAAAUGAUGUCACCUGAAUUUUGGCCAGCUGUCAUCCAAUUGAAGCUUACUCAUCUACAGCUGGUGUGAUUUGUAGUUUGAUUUGAGUUUCCUGCAUUUCCAACUCCUCAUUCAUCAGUAUAAAUGCACCCAACAGGGUCACAAAAUUGAGGCAAUUGCUCCGAAGGGAACUAUGUCCAAAUUCAAGUCUGAGCUUCAUGAGGGCAAGGUUUACAGAAUUUCAUCCUUUGCAGUUGUGGCCAAUAGUGGCAAUUUUAUGGCAUCUGAACACGAGUGUAAGAUUCUUUUCAAUGAAAGAACGUAGGAGAUAUUGGAACUAGCCUCCUCGAUACCAAUGAAUGUCUUUACGUUCAAGAACACUGCUGAGAUUUUUUCAACUGGAGGUGAAUCAGACUAUCUUAUUGGCAAUUUCAGUUUAUCUGAGAGGUUAGUGGCAAAGUAUGGUGGGGCUGCAGCUAUGUAUUUUGUGUCAAAGAAAUUGAAGAAGAAACACAAUAUCACCGAUGAGCGUGUUGCAUUGUAUGGAGCUGCAGAACAGUGGAUUGAUGCUUUGAAGGGCCGAAAAUUUCUUGGUAUAAUUCCUGGAAGCAGCUAUGAGAAAAACCAAUCAUGAGCAAUGAAGAUUAUGCUAAUUUAAAACAGAGGCUAAAGGUACUUAAUUUGCCUAUUUGAAUGAGGGUGGAUUUGAAUAAAGGGUCCGCUUUGUGUGUUUUGUAAUGUGUUGAUGUUUGAUCAUCAGUUCCCUAAAUCAGUUUUGUAGAUUUGAAAUUGAACAAUCUGUUUGGUUUUUUUGUGCUCGGAAUGAUAAAUUUUACAUAAAUAAAGUGGGGGGAUCUGAGAUGGAUUGAGACUUAGAACUUUGAUGUAUACAAAAUUUUGAUUAUUUAUUUAUUGCAGUUCUGAAUUGGCUUAACACAUUACCCUGUGACAUGAUGUUUCUUUGAAGAGUUCUCUUAACUUUCUAAUGCAAAUAAAUAUUCACGGUACUUUUCUAGAAUCAGCAUCUGUAUCCCAGAUUUCCAGUAAUUGUAGACCUGUGUUCUACAUAGAGUUUAUGAUGUGGUUAAUGAAAGUAUUAAUUUUUUCCAUUUGAUUACUCAAUCAAAAUGUUUUAGAAAAUAUGACUGAGAGAAUGUUUAUAAUUCCAAAGGUGUGAAGUUCUCCAUAUCUUUUUCUAUUAAUCAUAUUCCCUUUUAGUUAUAUUUAAAGACGUGGUAGUUUCAUUUUUAUUUUGAUCUUAUUCCAGAAACCCAGUUGAGAAAGUGACUUUGAAUCUGCUAGAGACAAGCAACAAUAGCAGCAGUGGCUAUUUUCAUGAAUCCUUGGCCUUUUGGCAUUUGUGAACAUCUUUUAAACUUCACUUCUCAUAAUUGAUUUGUGUAUAUCUAUUUUGUCUCACAAAAUUUCUAAUUUUUUCAAGCCCGUACUUUUCUCAAAAUAAG